Molecule: long non-coding RNA, 295 nt
Filed under: Setaria viridis
Lineage: Eukaryota; Viridiplantae; Streptophyta; Magnoliopsida; Poales; Poaceae
Description: long non-coding RNA (SVIR_LNC004355)
Source: RNAcentral
AGCAUCUCAAGCGUGCGAUAUGUGAGGCAAGAAGGGAAUGGCUCCACAAAAAGUUUGGCCAUAUCCUUGUCCGAAGGGAACGUAUUGACUCAAAGACUAUCAGCAAUUUUGGUGUCGCCAAAUUCUAUGGGGAGCUUCCUGAAACAUGACCUGAAUGUACUCUCUGCUCUCAAGAAUGUACACGGUAGAAAAGACAACUCGGAACCAAUCCUCAAUAUAUUGAUGAUGCUCUAAGACCAAAUCAGCCAAUCCGGGUAGUUGAUCGAAGUAUCCCUUAAUAUUCUCUCCCCACGCG